UACGGAGGGUGCAAGCGUUGUCCGGAAUCACUGGGCGUAAAGGGCGCGUAGGCGGCUUUGUAAGUCGGGGGUGAAAGCCUGUGGCUCAACCACAGAAUUGCCUUCGAUACUGCAUGGCUUGAGACCGGAAGAGGUAAGUGGAACUGCGAGUGUAGAGGUGAAAUUCGUAGAUAUUCGCAAGAACACCAGUGGCGAAGGCGGCUUACUGGUCCGGUUCUGACGCUGAGGCGCGAAAGCGUGGGGAGCAAACAGG
RNAcentral lists this ribosomal RNA (253 nucleotides) under uncultured bacterium. RNAcentral's name for it is "partial 16S ribosomal RNA". It matches the Rfam family "Bacterial small subunit ribosomal RNA", at positions 524 to 776 of the family's 1533-position model. The record is from RNAcentral.